AGCAGCAGCCGCGGAAUACAGAGGGUGCGAGCGUUAAUCGGAUUUACUGGGCGUAAAGCGUGCGUAGGCGGCUUCUUAAGUCGGAUGUGAAAUCCCUGAGCUUAACUUAGGAAUUGCAUUCGAUACUGGGAAGCUAGAGUAUGGGAGAGGAUGGUAGAAUUCCAGGUGUAGCGGUGAAAUGCGUAGAGAUCUGGAGGAAUACCGAUGGCGAAGGCAGCCAUCUGGCCUAAUACUGACGCUGAGGUACGAAAGCAUGGGGAGCAAACAGGAUUAGAUACCCCUGUAGUCCCUGUCUCUUAUACA
RNAcentral lists this ribosomal RNA (303 nucleotides) under uncultured bacterium. Its description in RNAcentral is "partial 16S ribosomal RNA". It matches the Rfam family "Bacterial small subunit ribosomal RNA", at positions 507 to 808 of the family's 1533-position model. The record is from RNAcentral.